Molecule: ribosomal RNA, 578 nt
Filed under: Klebsiella oxytoca
Lineage: Bacteria; Pseudomonadati; Pseudomonadota; Gammaproteobacteria; Enterobacterales; Enterobacteriaceae
Description: bacterial SSU rRNA
Rfam family: Bacterial small subunit ribosomal RNA
Source: RNAcentral
GGUAGCACAGAGAGCUUGCUCUCGGGUGACGAGUGGCGGACGGGUGAGUAAUGUCUGGGAAACUGCCCGAUGGAGGGGGAUAACUACUGGAAACGGUAGCUAAUACCGCAUAACGUCGCAAGACCAAAGAGGGGGACCUUAGGGCCUCUUGCCAUCGGAUGUGCCCAGAUGGGAUUAGCUUGUAGGUGAGGUAACGGCUCACCUAGGCGACGAUCCCUAGCUGGUCUGAGAGGAUGACCAGCCACACUGGAACUGAGACACGGUCCAGACUCCUACGGGAGGCAGCAGUGGGGAAUAUUGCACAAUGGGCGCAAGCCUGAUGCAGCCAUGCCGCGUGUAUGAAGAAGGCCUUCGGGUUGUAAAGUACUUUCAGCGGGGAGGAAGGGAGUGAGGUUAAUAACCUYAUUCAUUGACGUUACCCGCAGAAGAAGCACCGGCUAACUCCGUGCCAGCAGCCGCGGUAAUACGGAGGGUGCAAGCGUUAAUCGGAAUUACUGGGYGUAAAGCGCACGCAGGCGGUCUGUCAAGUCGGAUGUGAAAUCCCCGGGCUCAACCUGGGAACUGCAUUCGAAACUGGC